UUAACACAUGCAAGUCGAGCGGGCGUAGCAAUACGUCAGCAGCAGACGGGUGAGUAACGCGUGGGAACGUACCUUUUGGUUCGGAACAACACAGGGAAACUUGUGCUAAUACCGGAUAAGCCCUUACGGGGAAAGAUUUAUCGCCGAGAGAUCGGCCCGCGCCUGAUUAGCUAGUUGGUGAGGUAAUGGCUCACCAAGGCGACGAUCAGUAGCUGGUCUGAGAGGAUGAUCAGCCACAUUGGGACUGAGACACGGCCCAAACUCCUACGGGAGGCAGCAGUGGGGAAUAUUGGACAAUGGGCGCAAGCCUGAUCCAGCCAUGCCGCGUGAGUGAUGAAGGCCCUAGGGUUGUAAAGCUCUUUUGUGCGGGAAGAUAAUGACGGUACCGCAAGAAUAAGCCCCGGCUAACUUCGUGCCAGCAGCCGCGGUAU
Molecule: ribosomal RNA, 431 nt
Filed under: uncultured bacterium
Lineage: Bacteria
Description: bacterial SSU rRNA
Rfam family: Bacterial small subunit ribosomal RNA
Source: RNAcentral